AGCUGGGUUCAGAACGCUGUGAGGCAGUUUGUUUAAUAUCUACUGGAAAUGUUGGAAAUUUGAAGGGAAGGAUCUUCUAGUACGAGAGGAACGAAGGUUCGGAGCCUCUGGUUUAACGGUUAUCUGAUAAGGUAAGCCGUGCAGCUACGCUCUGGAGGAUAAGUGCUGAAAGCAUCUAAGCACGAAGCCUUCCUUGAAAAGAAAUUUUCCGAACACCUAUAGAACAUGGGUUUGAUGGAUAUGGUGUGUAAGUA
Molecule: ribosomal RNA, 254 nt
Filed under: Ignavibacteriales bacterium
Lineage: Bacteria; Pseudomonadati; Ignavibacteriota; Ignavibacteria; Ignavibacteriales
Description: partial 23S ribosomal RNA
Rfam family: Archaeal large subunit ribosomal RNA
Source: RNAcentral